Long non-coding RNA from Salvelinus namaycush (lake trout), 340 nucleotides. RefSeq lists it as uncharacterized. NCBI's taxonomy places the organism in Eukaryota, Metazoa, Chordata, Actinopteri, Salmoniformes, Salmonidae. The record is from RefSeq and is a predicted model, not a curated record. The transcript is spliced from 3 exons.
GUAGGUAGGUAGGUAGGUAGAAGGUAGGUAGGUAGGUAAUGCAGAUCUCCUAUUGAAGCUCCCUCUCCUGUAGGUAGGUAGGUAGGUAGGUAAUGCAGAUCUCCUAUUGUAACUCCCUCUCCUGUAGGUAGGUAGGUAGGUAGGUAGGUAGGUAGGUAGGUAGGUAGGUAAUGCAGAUCUCCUAUUGUAACUCCCUCUCCUGUAGGUAGGUAGGUAGGUAGGUAGGUAGGUAGGUAGGUAGGUAAUGCAGAUCUCCUAUUGUAACUCCCUCUCCUGUAGGUAGGUAGGUAGGUAGGUAGGUAGGUAGGUAGGUAGGUAGGUAGGUAGGUAGGUAGGUAAU